Herpailurus yagouaroundi (jaguarundi) is the source of this 565-nucleotide long non-coding RNA. RefSeq lists it as uncharacterized. The record is from RefSeq and is a predicted model, not a curated record. NCBI's taxonomy places the organism in Eukaryota, Metazoa, Chordata, Mammalia, Carnivora, Felidae. The transcript is spliced from 4 exons.
AGCAAUAUCCCAGCAAGGCUUCUCCAUUCCUAGUUCCAAUUUCUCCCCACCAGGACUUUGGAUGGAUGGAGACUCAUGAGCUGGAAGCACUGAAAGUUCUAGAGGAGGAGAGCCUGCUCUGCAUGGGAUCCUGCCCUGCAUUGUGUGUUGUAGGGACCAGUGAAAAGAAUGAGGAAUGGUUGUUCUCCCCAUCAGUUCAUGAAAUACUUGAAACAAGGUUGGAGAAGAGGUGGAGCCUGUGGAAUUUGGGCCUGAUCUGUGGCCCCUCAAGGGAAGGCUGACACUGGGCCAGAUGAAGACACCUGUGCCUCAUCCCAGCAGCUAAGAAGUUGUUGAACCAGCGGGCUGGAGCCCACCUCCCUCAGUCUGCCCAACGUCGAGCCUGGCAGUAUCAGGGCACCACCCCUGGAGAGAAGCACCCAGGCCCCUGGCUACCUACAGGACCUCUCCUCAUCUAGUUCCUACUGAAGAGCUCACAGAUCACAGAGAAUACUCUGGUCCUGCUGAAGCAGCAGAUUUUAUUUUUCAGUAAUCUCUACACCCAACAUGGGGCUCGAACUCACAA